Molecule: long non-coding RNA, 713 nt
Organism: Lates calcarifer (barramundi perch)
Lineage: Eukaryota; Metazoa; Chordata; Actinopteri; Centropomidae
Exons: 4
Source: RefSeq, a predicted model, not a curated record
ACAAGACAGAGAAAACUGCAAAGGUUACGCCAUGAGAACACUUUAUCUUUAACAACAGGGAGGGACGUUUUAUUGCAUUCAGGCAUUAUGCAACAACUACCACCACUGCCACGGUGAGAGACGAUGAGCAGCGGUAACCUUCAGCUGUGUUGACACAACGCCAGACCCAUCUGAAACCAACACCCGAGGCUAGCUGUUUAGCUUACAACACGGGCUGUUUGCACUCAGCCAGUCAACUAUACAAUACCCUUGGAUUGUCCCAUAUGUAGUGCAGCGGUGGAGGAAGAAGUAUUCAGUUCCUGCUCGGCUGCUGUGAGAGGAGAUGGGGAGGAGCAGGAGGACAUGUGUCGCAGGUAUCCCUGGAAGCACAGGUCCUCCUGCAAACAGAGAGACGGUGCUUAGUCAUCAGAAGAAGAUUCAUGGAGGAGCUGUCGUACCGGAGGGAUUUUACUGACCUCGACUGUGCCAAACACCUCGUCUUUGAUAUGACCUCCUCCAAACUCUUUCUUCAGUGUGGCACGUGUAGCUGCGUACAUCAUCUUUUGCCUCACCUGGAGGAAGGAAGACACAAUUCAGAGUGGUCCAGGUGGUUACAGGUUCUCACCUUGCAGUGUGACCAGGGAAAUACCGGAUGUACUUGUUGUCGACCAGAGACAGGUAUCUUAUGGUAUCUACAAGACACAAAACCAUUUUAUUUUCAAACACUAAAACAC